CCUACGGGAGGCAGCAGUGGGGAAUCUUGCGCAAUGGGCGAAAGCCUGACGCAGCCAUGCCGCGUGAAUGAUGAAGGUCUUAGGAUUGUAAAAUUCUUUCACCGGGGACGAUAAUGACGGUACCCGGAGAAGAAGCCCCG
Molecule: ribosomal RNA, 140 nt
Filed under: uncultured bacterium
Lineage: Bacteria
Description: partial 16S ribosomal RNA
Rfam family: Bacterial small subunit ribosomal RNA
Source: RNAcentral